UCCGCAGGCGGGCAAUUAAGUCAGAGGUGAAAUCCCACAGCUCAACUGUGGAACUGCCUUUGAUACUGGUUGUCUUGAGUUAUAGUGAAGUAGAUAGAAUAUGUAGUGUAGCGGUGAAAUGCAUAGAUAUUACAUAGAAUACCGAUUGCGAAGGCAGUCUACUAACUGUAUACUGACGCUAAUGGACGAAAGCGUGGGGAGCGAACAGGAUUAGAUACCCUGGUAGUCC
This 229-nucleotide ribosomal RNA is filed under the name uncultured bacterium. Its description in RNAcentral is "partial 16S ribosomal RNA". It matches the Rfam family "Bacterial small subunit ribosomal RNA", at positions 568 to 796 of the family's 1533-position model. The record is from RNAcentral.